Molecule: long non-coding RNA, 302 nt
Organism: Oncorhynchus tshawytscha (Chinook salmon)
Lineage: Eukaryota; Metazoa; Chordata; Actinopteri; Salmoniformes; Salmonidae
Source: Ensembl
GGGACUGGAUGGUGUUGAGAGGUAGAUGGGAGGGGUUGAGUGGAGCUGAAGGGUGGGACUGGAUGGUGUUGAGAGGUAGAUGGGAGGGUUUGAGUGGAGCUGAAGGGUGGGACUGGAUGGUGUUGAGAGGUAGAUGGGAGGGGUUGAGUGGAGCUGAAGAAUGGGACUGGAUGGUGUUGAGAGGUAGAUGGGAGGGGUUGAGUGGAGCUGAAGGGUGGGACUGGAUGGUGUUGAGAGGUAGAUGGGAGGGGUUGAGUGGAGCUGAAGGGUGGGACUGGAUGGUGUUGAGAGGUAGAUGGGAG